Molecule: long non-coding RNA, 467 nt
Filed under: Volvox carteri
Lineage: Eukaryota; Viridiplantae; Chlorophyta; Chlorophyceae; Chlamydomonadales; Volvocaceae
Description: long non-coding RNA (VCAR_LNC002152)
Source: RNAcentral
CAGCUCGCGAGGGCUUCCCUGAGACAUUGCCACACAAGCCUGCAGCGCAUUUAUGAAUGAGCAAACAAGUACCUUAAACUUAUAAUAGCUUCUUAAGUGUCACAGGUUUGCCGAUGGCAGACUAACAACGUCCAAAAGUACGCGCUUUCAUCUCACAUACCCGAGACUGGGCCCGCCCACGGGCAGAAUCCUGCAAAUGCGCGACCUUCAAGCAAUAUGAAGUUAAUAAAAGCCAAAAGAAGUGCGCUGCGGCGCAUUAGGCAUUACAAAUUCGCCCACCGCCGGCGUUACCCGUAAUUACCCCACCGCCGGCGUUACGCACUUCGCCGGCAUUUUCCUAAGAUGCUGCAACGAAGCGUUUCACUGUAUAAAGAGCGCUUUGCUCAUACAAAGUAUCGUAGUCUGCAUUGUACCUACAGCUCCACAAGUAAAACGCGUACCUGCAGUGUAACAUAAAUGUCCUCUCA